GAGUAGUUCAGAGUUUGAUCCUGGCUCAGGAUGAACGCUGGCGGCGUGCUUAACACAUGCAAGUCGAACGGGUAAGGCGCCUUCGGGCGCGCAUACAGUGGCGAACGGGUGAGUAACACGUGACCAACCUGCCCCCUCCACCGGGACAACCUCGGGAAACCGUGGCUAAUACCGGAUACUCCGGGGACCGCGCAUGCGGGCCCCGGGAAAGCCCAGGCGGGAGGGGAUGGGGUCGCGGCCCAUUAGGUAGACGGCGGGGUGACGGCCCACCGUGCCGACGAUGGGUAGCCGGGCCGAGAGGCCGAUCGGCCACAUUGGGACUGAGACACGGCCCAG
Molecule: ribosomal RNA, 336 nt
Filed under: uncultured bacterium
Lineage: Bacteria
Description: bacterial SSU rRNA
Rfam family: Bacterial small subunit ribosomal RNA
Source: RNAcentral